CCUACGGGGGGCAGCAGUGGGGAAUUUUGGACAAUGGGGGCAACCCUGAUCCAGCCAUGCCGCGUGCGGGAAGAAGGCCUUCGGGUUGUAAACCGCUUUUAUUCGGAAAGCGGUACCGGAUGAAUAAGCACCGGCUAACUACGUGCCAGCAGCCGCGGUAAUACGUAGGGUGCGAGCGUUAAUCGGAAUUACUGGGCGUAAAGCGUGCGCAGGCGGUUCGUUAAGUCAGCUGUGAAAGCCCCGGGCUUAACCUGGGAAUGGCGGUUGAAACUGGCGAACUUGAAUCUGGCAGAGGGGGGUGGAAUUCCACGUGUAGCAGUGAAAUGCGUAGAGAUGUGGAGGAACACCGAUGGCGAAGGCAGCCCCCUGGGCGAAUUGACGCUCAGGCACGAAAGCGUGGGGAGCAAACAGGAUUAGAUACCCCAGUAGUC
RNAcentral lists this ribosomal RNA (431 nucleotides) under uncultured bacterium. RNAcentral describes it as "partial 16S ribosomal RNA". It matches the Rfam family "Bacterial small subunit ribosomal RNA", at positions 338 to 795 of the family's 1533-position model. The record is from RNAcentral.